RNAcentral lists this non-coding RNA (260 nucleotides) under Clostridium sp. RNAcentral describes it as "T-box sequence". It matches the Rfam family "T-box leader". From Rfam's summary of the family: Uncharged tRNA acts as the effector for transcription antitermination of genes in the T-box leader family. Lineage: Bacteria; Bacillati; Bacillota; Clostridia; Eubacteriales; Clostridiaceae. The record is from RNAcentral.
AUAAAUACGAAGAUUGAGAAAAGUAAAUUCUAUAGCAUUUAGCAGAGAACUUAUCAUUUGCUGGGAGAUAAGAUUUGUGAAAGAAUUGAAAAUCACUCAUGAGUAGUUAGCUGAAGAUAUUAUUAUUGUGUAAGCAUGACCGGUAGCAACCGUUAUAUUGCCUAAUAUUAAAUAGGGGUUCCUAUAGAUAUUUUGUUCGAGAGGUUACUUUUUUGUAACAAGUAGAGUGGUACCGCAGAGUCUUAGGCUUUGUCUCUAAA